UCAUCUUUCUCAGAUCCAGAGUCCGAUUCAGAUAUCAUCAACGAACUUGUUCAUGUCAACCUCCGAAUCAGGCUUAAUCCAUCUCGACGACCAUGGAAUCUCCAAAUUCAUCAUCUCCUCUCACACUCCAUGACCUUGCAAAACCGAGCUCCGUCUCAAAGAGUUUCGCCGCGACCUCAUCUCCGCUUCUUUCCUCGAGUUCUCUCAGUCCCAAUCUUCUCUACGUCCGACGCAAACUAACUCCGUCUCCAAGAGAUUUGCCGCUGAAUUCGUCGUUGAUGGGGGUGGUCUCAUCGUCAACCUAUUUGCAGGCUGGCCUAGAAAAGGGAGAUAACUGUGUUAUGGUCUGUUUGUGUUGGAAAGUGACAACGAUUCUCUCGCUCAGUUUCUACCAGGUUGAGAAAGGUGGGGAAAAUGCUCUCUUUGUAAGUAGCUAUAGGGGAGGUGUCAUAGCUGUUGCAGAUGGUUUUUCCAGCUGGGUUGAACAAGAUGUUGACCCUUCCUCGUACGUUCUCCAAAGAGCUCAUGGCUCAUGCUUCUCGUCUGGUUGAUGAUGAAGAGGUAGUUUUGAAAUCUCACUAUGAAGUCUUAAUCUAUCUUUUGAGUUUUUUUUCUGAUUACGUUUUGGACACAAGUGAGAUAUGAUCCUGGUUUCCUAGUAGCCAUGCUUGAGGAAGUUGGUGUUCUGAAAAUAGGCAAUGUUGGAGACUGGGACUACUUAAGCUUCUUAGACAAGGCCAAAUCAUAUUUUCAACUACUCCACAAGAGCAUUACUUUGACUGUCCUAUACACCUUAUGUUACCUCUCUAUGGUGGUGGUGGUGGUAGCAACAUGACAAAGAAGAUCUUUGUAGCUGCACCUGACGACAAAGCUGGAGCAACGUCAACUUCCGUCUCUCGCGAAGUUCAUCUGCCUGACAACGAAGCUCAGAGAAGAGCCGUUUUGAUUGAGCCGAGAUGAAGCUCUGCGCCUGAUGAGUUUCUCUGCCACUUCUCAAAUCCGUAUUCGCCGGUCUCUGUCUUCACCGGAGUCACCAAAACCACCGCUCGUCUCCACCAUCAGCGAUUAAAUGGCUUCUUAAGCUAUCAAAAGUUCAUGAAAUCACCCAAGUUCCAAGCUUUAGCAAAGAAGCUGAGUUCUUCUUGCAAGGGAUAAUGGAUGGACUUAGAUGGAUGAAACAAUGGAAGUUAAGAUGAUUGAGAAAAAUGUGUCACAUCCAGAGAUUGCUAAGGUCUUAAAGAUAUCUCUCCUCUUGCUUCACUGCGGUUUAGAUUUUAAAUAAAUUUCUCGUCUUUUAUUUGAUUCAGUUUUUUUUUUCAUUUUGCUUGCAUCUUUCCCAUGGUUUGACGAUUGACAGAGAUAGAAUAUGGAGGACAACGGUAGGAGAGCACGCCGGAGAUAUGGCUGAGAGAGCAUGACGACGGAGGACAUGGCUGAGGAGGGCGUCGAGGAGGAGGUAGCAUAAGCGGUGUGUGCGUGGAAGAUAGCGACGUUGGAGUUCUGUGAGGAAGAAGAAGAUCAGUGACAUCCAGAGAGGAGGCGGCUUGAAUUGAAACUUGAACUGUUUAGUUUUAUUUUCUAGGUUUAUUUUAUUUUCUAAUUCUGAGUUAUUUUUGUAAACCAUAAUUUACUU
Brassica oleracea var. oleracea is the source of this 1633-nucleotide RNA transcript. It is a transcript of the gene named probable protein phosphatase 2C 1, with no coding region annotated. The record is from RefSeq and is a predicted model, not a curated record. The transcript is spliced from 6 exons. Lineage: Eukaryota; Viridiplantae; Streptophyta; Magnoliopsida; Brassicales; Brassicaceae.